UACAGAGGUCCCAAGCGUUGUUCGGAUUCACUGGGCGUAAAGGGUGCGUAGGCGGUCGGGUAAGUCUGAUGUGAAAUCUCACAGCUUAACUGUGAAACUGCAUUGGAUACUAUCCGGCUCGAGGAAUGGAGGGGAGACUGGAAUACUUGGUGUAGCAGUGAAAUGCGUAGAUAUCGAGAGGAACACCAGUGGCGAAGGCGAGUCCCUGGACACUUCCUGACACUGAGGCACGAAAGCUAGGGGAGCAAACAGG
This 253-nucleotide ribosomal RNA is filed under the name uncultured bacterium. RNAcentral describes it as "partial 16S ribosomal RNA". It matches the Rfam family "Bacterial small subunit ribosomal RNA", at positions 524 to 776 of the family's 1533-position model. The record is from RNAcentral.